Molecule: long non-coding RNA, 1953 nt
Organism: Coregonus clupeaformis (lake whitefish)
Lineage: Eukaryota; Metazoa; Chordata; Actinopteri; Salmoniformes; Salmonidae
Exons: 9
Source: RefSeq, a predicted model, not a curated record
UUAUAUUUUGAUCAUAUUGAUUGGUUGUUGUAACAAUCUCUGUUUUGACAGCUGACUACCGUGGACCUCAUUCUCAUGUGCAGUACAGCGCGGAAAGUUGAAUGAAUAACUAAAUAACGCAGCUAGCCUAAAUAUUCGGAUGAUGACCUCACAGUGAACCGGCGGUCCCGUUGUCGGAAGGCCCUGAGAGACAGUGACAGCGAGGAGGAGGUGCAUGAGAUGGCAGAGGCUCUGGUCCUGUCAGCAUCCAGCGGAGAUGAGAUGGAGACUGCUGAGGAAGAGGUCAAAAGGGCAGAAUUAAAGAGCAAGAAGGUAUCCCGGAUAGCCCCUAUCGACAGUGAUGAGAGUGCGCCAGAGAAGGAGGAAGGGCUGGUAAAAAAGGAUGUGGUAGGGAAGCGGGAGAAGAGCCAGAGACACAGAGAGAAGAAAGAGAAGUGCAGCAAAGCUGUGGAGCGACUGAAGAAGAAAGUGAGACCUGAGGAGGAGACCCCUUUGCCCGUGCUCAGAAUGACAGCGGCUGUCUCCUUGGUGACAAUGACCUAUAUGACGCUGGUCUGGAUGAUGAUGAAGAGGAAGAGUCUCUGGACGCCAUCAGAGCAGCAGUAAAGCAGAAAGCCAAGAAGCACAAGGAGCCUUUAUUUGAUGAUGAUGAUGAUGAGGAGGAAGAUGAUGAGGCUGGACCGAAACAGCGUCCCCAGGAGAGGAAGGCAGCUCGAGCCAGCAAGGAGGCCAUGAAGCAGCUGCACAGUGAGACCCAGAGGCUGGUCCGAGAAUCCACAUGUGGGCUGCCCUACCACAUGCCUGAGCCCAAGAGCAUCGACCAGUUCUUCAAGAGGAGAGCCCGACCUGAGGGUUCUGCUAUGGCACUAUUGAAGUUGGUCCGAGUCGUUAUGGCGACCCCUUCAUUUUCGCCACAUUCCGUUCCCUCUGCACCUGGCUCGCAGAAGAGACUACCUGCCUCAAGGAGGAAGAGACCGCCCUCUUGCCCUUCCUGAUGGGCUACGCCAGAAGCCAUCUGCAGGGAGAGAGUAAGGACCAGUGUCUUUCCAAUUGGAUGUCUGUACGUUACUGCUCACAGGGAGGGGCUUGGACAGGCAAAGAUGCUCUAAGGUAUCUCCUCCCAGCUCUAUGCCACCUCUCUGCAGAGGAUGCCCCAAGGAAGGUGUUAAUCACCCUGGACACCCCGGCCCUCCUCGUGAACUUCCUAAUCCAGGGAUGGGGCAACCUACAGGGGAAAGGAGGGGCAGCAUUAGCCCUGGACCCCAGUAUGGAGACAGCCUGCUCGGCCCUGCUCAACUUUGCAGUCACGGAGCCGGAGCGAGUCAGGAAGGACCCUUAUUUCAAAAGCCUUGAGUCACUGUUGAGUGAACCACUUCCUGUUCUCCUGCACAAACCUCUUGAUCCUGGCGGCCAAUCUUUGUACUCUGGGGCUCAUGAUUGGCAGGCUUAAACCGGCUCCUAAAGCUCUGGUUGAAGUAGGCCAGAGGCGGUUCUCCUCCUCAGCCCUGCGGUUCCUCCGUGGUGCCCUGGACUCCAGCUCGGGCCCAGGCCCAGUUCGGGUGAGCCCUGCCUGGGAGGAGUGGUGGGAGGAGGCUGGGGAGCUGUGGAGGCUGGGCCUGCAGGCCCUGGCAGGCUGUGUGAAGACCCAGCCCUGGAUCACGUAACCUGACCAGGAAAAAAUCCAGGCUCUUCAGCCUCUAGAGACAAAGACAAAAUGGCUGAAUAUAUCAUUAUGUUUAGUAAUGGGUUAUAUUUGCAUUGUCAUGUGCUUCCUGAUAAACAUUUCAGUUGUUUGUAAGAUGGUACGACUGUAUAUAAGCAGUCUGUUACAUGUAUGAAAGUAGACUGUAUAUAAGCAGUCUGUUACAUGUAUGAAAGUAGACUGUAUAUAAGCAGUCUGUUACAUGUAUGAAAGUAAGUAAAGCAUAAAAUAAAGAAUUAUUUUGAAAAAUA